This 425-nucleotide ribosomal RNA is filed under the name uncultured bacterium. RNAcentral describes it as "partial 16S ribosomal RNA". It matches the Rfam family "Bacterial small subunit ribosomal RNA", at positions 354 to 796 of the family's 1533-position model. The record is from RNAcentral.
GUGGGGAAUAUUGCACAAUGGGCGAAAGCCUGAUGCAGCGACGCCGCGUGAGCGAUGAAGUAUUUCGGUACGUAAAGCUCUAUCAGCAGGGAAGAUAAUGACGGUACCUGACUAAGAAGCACCGGCUAAAUACGUGCCAGCAGCCGCGGUAAUACGUAUGGUGCAAGCGUUAUCCGGAUUUACUGGGAGUAAAGGGAGCGUAGGCGGCGUGGUAAGUCAGAAGUGAAAGCCCGGGGCUCAACCCCGGGACUGCUUUUGAAACUAUCAUGCUAGAGUGUCGGAGAGGUAAGUGGAAUUCCUAGUGUAGCGGUGAAAUGCGUAGAUAUUAGGAGGAACACCAGUGGCGAAGACGGCUUACUGGACGAUAACUGACGCUGAGGCUCGAAAGCGUGGGGAGCAAACAGGAUUAGAUACCCUUGUAGUCC